CAACCCUCAAGCACUGCUUGGUGUUGGGGCCCUGCACCUGCAGGCCCUGAAAUACAGUGGCGGAUCGCCCGGAACUCUCUCUGCGUAGUACCUAACACCUCGCUCUGGGACCCGGCGGUGCCUGCCGUAAACCCCCCAAUUUUUCAA
This 147-nucleotide unclassified non-coding RNA is filed under the name uncultured Sordariomycetes. RNAcentral describes it as "sequence contains ITS2". The record is from RNAcentral. Lineage: Eukaryota; Fungi; Ascomycota; Sordariomycetes.